Molecule: ribosomal RNA, 230 nt
Filed under: uncultured bacterium
Lineage: Bacteria
Description: partial 16S ribosomal RNA
Rfam family: Bacterial small subunit ribosomal RNA
Source: RNAcentral
UAAAGAGCUUGUAGGCGGUUUGUCGCGUCUGCUGUGAAAGCCCGGGGCUUAACUCCGGGUUUGCAGUGGGUACGGGCUAACUAGAGUGCAGUAGGGGAGACUGGAAUUCCUGGUGUAGCGGUGGAAUGCGCAGAUAUCAGGAGGAACACCGAUGGCGAAGGCAGGUCUCUGGGCUGUAACUGACGCUGAGAAGCGAAAGCAUGGGGAGCGAACAGGAUUAGAUACCCUGU